AAGAGGGAUGAAGGGGCCAGGGUAGGGGAGAAGAGAUUAGGAGGGGCAGAGUGAUUCAUGUGUUAGACAAGGGCCAAAUUUUCAAAGAGGAUGGAGCCAGAACCUCAGUGGAGUUAUGCCAGUAAACUCUAGUGGAGGAUUCUGGCCUAUGCCAUUCAGUUGAAUGUGCACCGCUUUGCAUGUCCAAAACAGCUGCCCUGUGCAGCUUUGCAGCUAUUAAGAACUGUGUGUUUGAGAAGUAAAUUCUAUCACUUGCUUGAUCACUUGACAGGGUUCAAAAAGUUCCACAUGUACACGCUCUUUUUUGGAUAUAGUCCAGUGGUAAUGUGGCAUUCAGCUAAUGAAAAGACACCCUUCUACCAGAGUACAUGGUCCAGGAGCUUACUGUUUGGUUUGUAGUGUAAGAGAAGUACCUCACAAUCUACUCUUGAUGGUACCAUUUUGAAUGCCCCAGAAAUUGCCACCUUCCAAUCUUCCGGUGUUGAUGCCACUAAAGACGUUCGUGUGCAAAGGCCAGUGGCUUUCUGUUGAUCUAGGGAAAAAACAGACAUGAGUUUGGAAGUUGGGGCAAUAUCCUAUAAUGCAUCACAGCUGAAAGGGUGCAAAUGCUUUUGGAUUCUGCCAAACCUUCAGCCAUCUGUGAAGUUACUCCAGAUGGUGGUGUUGAGAAUAUAGUUUGGCCUGAAGUAUUCUGUUAUGUGACCCCUCCAGUUCCGUCUCACUUUUGCCACUAACUGCUAUUGCUUAUGUUCCUCUCCAGGAGGAUACAGACAUGUCACUCUAUCUGAAGUUACCAUUGGCUCUGCUUCUUCUGUCAACUCACAAGGAUGCUCGGGAGAUGAUAGCAGCCUGCCAGGACCUUCCCAGAUUCUUUCCUAUUCUCAUGAAAGCAGAGAAAGCAUUUUUAAUCUUCAUGACUGACUCAGCAGAAAUUGAGAGAUUCAAAAAUGUUCCUUCCGCUCCAUGGUAACUAAUGUUAGUAUGAACAGAUUGCUUAGCCCAUACUCUCUCUCCCACAAUCUGUUGAAUACAUGAAUUAACACAGGCAUUUUCUGGCUCUCUCUGUUCCCUGAUGUUGUGGUUAUUGUUUAACAAUCAGAUCUAAAUGUUUGAUUCUGGGUUUCAUUCAGUACUAAUAUUACCGUAAAAGUAAAAAUCUAGAUCUGUCAACAUCAUACAGGCAUGAGAUACUCUCGUAUUGCUUACUGAUCCUGCCCUGUUCGCACACAAUAUGCAGUUCAGUAACAAUAUACAGCAACAUUCUCCAUUCUUAAAUAGUCCUAAAGCAGGCAAAAACUCUCAUCCAAGUUUCAGUCUCUGAUAAAGAUUUAAAACUGUCAAGAUUUUGAGAUUUGGCCCGUUAAAAAAAAACACAAGGUGGCGUGGUAUUGGCAUGCCUGUGGGAUACCUGCUGCUCAUCCCAAAUGAUUGAUUGUGACAGAAUAUACCCCUGUGUCCACACCCUAGACAGUAUUGUAAUGUUUGUACAAGGUAUACCUUGUGAGGUAUUUAAAAACUCAUAACUUGCUGAUCAAUAAUAUCAUGGUAAAAUGCACAUAGCAACAUUAUAUGUAAAGUUAUGAACAUAUGCUGCCAUCAUGGCUGUAAUAUGUUUCCCAGAUGAAUCUGGAGAGUGGCUAAACCAGUUUGUCAGCAACAAGAGACAAGCCGACGCCUCAGCCAGGUGUCAAAAAGGCUGACGGACCGUUACCUGCUAAGUCGUCAUUCUUUGGCAAGCAAGGGGGCAGGGACAAAAAUCUACAUCUGAGCAAAGAAACAGCAUGGAGUUUCCUCUCUUCACCAGACUGCCUACUGCCUUGCUCCCAGCUGGAAAUGCUUCUCAUAGUGGGGACAGGACUACAAACAGAUGGGGCAGACACCCCAAGACACCUCUCUUCUCCCUCCCUCUCUCUCUCUGGCAUACUCUUGGUGGGGGAGGAGUCCUGACCUGAGAGAUUGGUCAGUAAUCUGCUGGAGCAUGUGAUGUGAAACUUUGCUUGAAUCUAAUAUGGUUUGCUAAAUUAGACACUAGUAAAUCUAUUAUCUUUAUAUUUCUUGUAACCAUUUCUGACUUUAAUGCCUCAUUACUUAUACUCACUUAAAAUCUCUCUCUUUGUAGUUAAUAAACUUGUUUUAUUGUUUUACCUAAUCCA
This is a long non-coding RNA of Chrysemys picta bellii (western painted turtle), 2153 nucleotides long. The record is from Ensembl. Lineage: Eukaryota; Metazoa; Chordata; Testudines; Emydidae.